Molecule: long non-coding RNA, 310 nt
Filed under: Ictidomys tridecemlineatus (thirteen-lined ground squirrel)
Lineage: Eukaryota; Metazoa; Chordata; Mammalia; Rodentia; Sciuridae
Description: lncRNA (ENSSTOG00000034631.1)
Source: RNAcentral
UCCUUCAUCUCAGAAGGCCCUGCAGGGGCGUGAUUAAGCUUAUUCACCGCAGAGAAACCAGCCAUGAGCUUGGAAUUUAACAGAUGUGCGGGACCACAGUUAUUCCAACAAACUGUUCUACAUCUGCCUCCCUCAAGAUGCCCUGAAGCACCAUUGAAAAAGGACCAACCGACCAGGAGGAAGAUCAGCGGACGGCUUGAUUCAGUUCUAAAGGACAGGAAUAACAGUGCUUCUCUCUUCCCCUGUGAACGUAUUUCAAUGUCUGAUUGACGAUAACAAUGUGUGCAUUUUUUCUUAGAUGGCAGGGAGA